This 269-nucleotide unclassified non-coding RNA is filed under the name Perenniporia contraria. RNAcentral describes it as "partial internal transcribed spacer region". The stretch from base 1 to 46 matches the Rfam family "Eukaryotic small subunit ribosomal RNA", at positions 1786 to 1831 of the family's 1831-position model. Lineage: Eukaryota; Fungi; Basidiomycota; Agaricomycetes; Polyporales; Polyporaceae. The record is from RNAcentral.
AAGUCGUAACAAGGUUUCCGUAGGUGAACCUGCGGAAGGAUCAUUAUCGAGUUUUGAAAGGGGUUGUAGCUGGCCUUCCGAGGCAUGUGCACGCCCCGCUCAAUCCACUCUACACCUGUGCACUUACUGUAGGCUUCGGAGGUGAAGCGGGCUUUAUCGCUCGUGGACCUGACGAGCUUACGUUUUAUUUACGAACCCUUCAGUAUCAGAAUGUGUAUCGCGGAUUAACGCAUUGAAUACAACUUUCAGCAACGGAUCUCUUGGCUCUC